This 297-nucleotide transfer-messenger RNA is filed under the name Thalassiosira minuscula. RNAcentral's name for it is "partial Alphaproteobacteria transfer-messenger RNA". It matches the Rfam family "Alphaproteobacteria transfer-messenger RNA", at positions 51 to 350 of the family's 355-position model. From Rfam's summary of the family: Bacterial tmRNA, also known as 10Sa RNA or SsrA, is named for its dual tRNA and mRNA-like properties. Its role is to liberate the mRNA from a stalled ribosome. To accomplish this part of the tmRNA is used as a reading frame that ends in a translation stop signal. Lineage: Eukaryota; Bacillariophyta; Thalassiosirophyceae; Thalassiosirales; Thalassiosiraceae. The record is from RNAcentral.
GACUAUGGCGAUAAACGCGCUCGUAAUAAGCGGCUCGGACCCGGGGGCGGUACCCGGCGGCUCCACCAACAUCCUUCGUUUGGGGAUCAUGGGGCCGAAAUAGGAUCGACGGACGUGUAAAAGGGUUAGCUUUCGCUCGGCAGGAUGCCACCGUUAUCGGCUCAAACUCGAUAGUUGCAAAUGACAACCGAGUGCCGGCAGCUCUCGCCGCUUAAUGCGGUGCGAAAAGCCGAAAUCUAAGCCCUUAUCUCUCACAAGAUAAGGCGGGGUUCGCAGGCACCUGGCAACAGAAGCCUG